This 372-nucleotide ribosomal RNA is filed under the name Rostroraja eglanteria (clearnose skate). RNAcentral describes it as "partial large subunit ribosomal RNA". It matches the Rfam family "Bacterial large subunit ribosomal RNA", at positions 604 to 1121 of the family's 2925-position model. Lineage: Eukaryota; Metazoa; Chordata; Chondrichthyes; Rajiformes; Rajidae. The record is from RNAcentral.
CCUUUUGCAUCAUGAUUUAGCAAGAACAAGUGGGCAAAAAGACCUUAAGUCCACCUUCCCGAAACUAGACGAGCUACUUCGGAGCAGCACACUAGAGCUAACCCGUCUCUGUGGCAAAAGAGUGGGGAGACUCCUGAGUAGAGGUGAUAAGCCUACCGAGCCUAGUGAUAGCUGGUUACCCAAAAAAAGAACUUAAAUUCUGCAAUAAUCCUUCACCUCGCCCACCAAGAUUACCAAAACAAGGCGACUUGUAAGAAUUAUUAGUUAUUUAAAAGAGGUACAACUCUUUUAAACUAAGAAACAACUUUAUUAGGAGGGUAAAGAUCAUAUUAUUAAAGGACCACACCCCAGUAGGCCUAAAAGCAGCCACCU